AACGAACGCUGGCGGCAUGCCUAACACAUGCAAGUCGAACGAGACCUUCGGGUCUAGUGGCGCACGGGUGCGUAACGCGUGGGAACCUGCCCUUAGGUUCGGAAUAACUCCCCGAAAGGGGUGCUAAUACCGGAUAAUGUCUUCGGACCAAAGAUUUAUCGCCUUUGGAUGGGCCCGCGUUGGAUUAGCUAGUUGGUAGGGUAAAAGCCUACCAAGGCGACGAUCCAUAGCUGGUCUGAGAGGAUGAUCAGCCACACUGGGACUGAGACACGGCCCAGACUCCUACGGGAGGCAGCAGUGGGGAAUAUUGGACAAUGGGCGAAAGCCUGAUCCAGCCAUGCCGCGUGAGUGAUGAGGCCGUAGGGUUGUAAAGCUCUUUUACCCGGGAUGAUAAUGACAGUACCGUGAGAAUAAGCUCCGGCUAACUCCGUG
RNAcentral lists this ribosomal RNA (432 nucleotides) under uncultured bacterium. RNAcentral's name for it is "partial 16S ribosomal RNA". It matches the Rfam family "Bacterial small subunit ribosomal RNA", at positions 29 to 507 of the family's 1533-position model. The record is from RNAcentral.